This 253-nucleotide ribosomal RNA is filed under the name uncultured bacterium. RNAcentral's name for it is "partial 16S ribosomal RNA". It matches the Rfam family "Bacterial small subunit ribosomal RNA", at positions 524 to 776 of the family's 1533-position model. The record is from RNAcentral.
UACGGGGGGAGCAAGCGUUGUUCGGAUUUACUGGGCGUAAAGGGCGCGUAGGCGGCGUGACAAGUCACUUGUGAAAUCUCCGGGCUUAACCCGGAGCGGCCAAGUGAUACUGUCGUGCUAGAGUGCGGAAGGGGCUACUGGAAUUCUCGGUGUAGCGGUGAAAUGCGCAGAUAUCAGGAAGAACACCAAUGGCGAAGGCAGCUUGUUGGGACGGUACUGACGCUGAGACGCGAAAGCGUGGGGAGCGAACAGG